GACGAACCGUGCGAACGUUGUUCGGAAUUACUGGGCGUAAAGCGUGUGUAGGCGGCCUUAUAAGUCGGAUGUGAAAGCCCAGGGCUCAACCCUGGAAGUGCACUCGAUACUGUAAGGCUCGAGUACUGGAGAGGUUGGUGGAAUUCUCGGUGUAGAGGUGAAAUUCGUAGAUAUCGAGAGGAACACCGGUGGCGAAGGCGGCCAACUGGACAGAUACUGACGCUGAGACACGAAAGCGUGGGGAGCAAACAGG
RNAcentral lists this ribosomal RNA (253 nucleotides) under uncultured bacterium. RNAcentral describes it as "partial 16S ribosomal RNA". It matches the Rfam family "Bacterial small subunit ribosomal RNA", at positions 524 to 776 of the family's 1533-position model. The record is from RNAcentral.